Non-coding RNA from Pelobates cultripes (western spadefoot toad), 228 nucleotides. Lineage: Eukaryota; Metazoa; Chordata; Amphibia; Anura; Pelobatidae. The record is from the annotation of a GenBank genome assembly.
AUCACAACUGGGACUACUACUGCCUUCACUUUCCACAAUCCUUUAUAGCUCUUCUUUCAGUCCUUGGUAUUUGUCCACCUUCUCAUGCUCCAUCUUCCUCAUGUUAUUGUCACUGGGUAUUGCCACAUCCACCACCACUGCAGUCUUCCAUGUUUACUAUCACGAUGUCAAGUUGGUUGGCCAGCACUUUUUUGUCCGUCUGGAUCUUAAAGUCCCACAAGAUCUUAG